This 539-nucleotide ribosomal RNA is filed under the name uncultured Peptococcus sp. Its description in RNAcentral is "bacterial SSU rRNA". It matches the Rfam family "Bacterial small subunit ribosomal RNA", at positions 843 to 1382 of the family's 1533-position model. The record is from RNAcentral. Lineage: Bacteria; Bacillati; Bacillota; Clostridia; Eubacteriales; Peptococcaceae.
GUGCCGGAGUAAACACAAUAAGUACCCCGCCUGGGGAGUACGGUCGCAAGACUGAAACUCAAAGGAAUUGACGGGGGCCCGCACAAGCGGUGGAGCAUGUGGUUUAAUUCGACGCAACGCGAAGAACCUUACCAAGACUUGACAUCCCCCUGACCGGACUUGUAAUGAGUCCUUUCCUACGGGACAGGGGAGACAGGUGGUGCAUGGUUGUCGUCAGCUCGUGUCGUGAGAUGUUGGGUUAAGUCCCGCAACGAGCGCAACCCCUGUUGCUAGUUGCCAGCAUUAAGUUGGGCACUCUAGUGAGACUGCCAGUGACAAACUGGAGGAAGGUGGGGAUGACGUCAAAUCAUCAUGCCCCUUAUGUCUUGGGCUACACACGUGCUACAAUGGGUGGUACAAAGGGAAGCGAAGCCGCGAGGUGGAGCGAAUCCCCCAAAGCCACUCCCAGUUCGGAUUGCAGGCUGCAACUCGCCUGCAUGAAGUCGGAAUCGCUAGUAAUCGCAGGUCAGCAUACUGCGGUGAAUACGUUCCCGGGCCUU